RNAcentral lists this transfer RNA (84 nucleotides) under Pseudomonadota bacterium. RNAcentral's name for it is "tRNA-Leu". It matches the Rfam family "tRNA". Rfam says of the family: Transfer RNA (tRNA) molecules are approximately 80 nucleotides in length. Their secondary structure includes four short double-helical elements and three loops (D, anti-codon, and T loops). Lineage: Bacteria; Pseudomonadati; Pseudomonadota. RNAcentral also lists the same sequence under 1 other name. The record is from RNAcentral.
GCCCCUGUGGUGGAAUGGUAGACGCGGCAGACUCAAAAUCUGUUGCCGAAAGGCGUGCUGGUUCAAGUCCGGCCAGGGGCACCA